Molecule: ribosomal RNA, 301 nt
Filed under: uncultured bacterium
Lineage: Bacteria
Description: partial 16S ribosomal RNA
Rfam family: Bacterial small subunit ribosomal RNA
Source: RNAcentral
CAGUAGCCGCGGUAAUACCGAGGGUGCGAGCGUUAAUCGGAUUUACUGGGCGUAAAGCGUGCGUAGGCGGCUGAUUAAGUCGGAUGUGAAAUCCCUGAGCUUAACUUAGGAAUUGCAUUCGAUACUGGUCAGCUAGGGUAUGGGAGAGGAUGGUAGAAUUCCAGGUGUAGCGGUGAAAUGCGUAGAGAUCUGGAGGAAUACCGAUGGCGAAGGCAGCCAUCUGGCCUAAUACUGACGCUGAGGUACGAAAGCAUGGGGAGCAAACAGGAUUAGAUACCCCAGUAGUCCCUGUCUCUUAUAA